Long non-coding RNA from Calidris pugnax (ruff), 769 nucleotides. RefSeq lists it as uncharacterized. The transcript is spliced from 2 exons. The record is from RefSeq and is a predicted model, not a curated record. NCBI's taxonomy places the organism in Eukaryota, Metazoa, Chordata, Aves, Charadriiformes, Scolopacidae.
GUUUGUAUGUCCUUAAAAGCAAAUUAGAAGUGGAAAAUCAAGAAGACUAACCUGCACACUGAGUUCCUGGAAAUUUUCAAGAAAAUUGGUUGAGCCUUUACAAAGAUCUUGAUGCCUGAAUCCAAUGUACUUAUUUUUAUUUGUUGCUAUUUUAUCUUUAUUUCUUGGUAUAUUCAAAUUGCUACAUAAACCACGAUCUCUCUGAAGUGGAGAACAGGAAGAGUGCUUUAUUUGCAUCUAAGACUAUAGUUUUUCUUAAAUGGAAGAAUGGGAUAAAAAGCUUGGGUUUUGUAUGGUUUUAUGGAUUCUUAAAAUUAAGGCAAGAGGACAACCCGCCCAGCUUCCUGUUAAUUAAUCUUGGCUUUUCAUCCAGACAAAAGUCUUUUCAUGCCUGCCUCAUCUUGUGAUGAGGAUUAUUGCUAAUGGGGGUUAGGAGACAUGAGCUGUGUUCAUAGUCCUCAGCUAUUGCUGCCAAAUCUUUAAAGGUCUUGACUGAUUCUACUGAUUUCAUGUGAAUUGAAAGACAAAAGAUUGCUUCAGUUUCCCAAUAUGCAGACUAUGUAUAGUACUUGCUUCACUUGCUUCUUAUGGAUAGAAAAUGCAAGAAUUGUUUGCUUAAAUGUGUCAUAAUUCCAUGCAAAGUAAAUGUUGAAACUUGUAGUAAUAUUAGUCUUGGAACUCUUUGUUAGCAACAGGUAGAUUUAGAGUUUACAGUAUGAACAUAGUUAAUCACUAGCAUUACUAAUAAUUAAUCUUGGGUUUAAAGAUG